GCCAGGGUAGCUCAACGGCGGAGCAGGUCUUUCAUAAGGACAAGGUUGUGGGUCCGACUCCCACCCCUGGCA
Molecule: transfer RNA, 72 nt
Filed under: Candidatus Liptonbacteria bacterium
Lineage: Bacteria; Candidatus Liptoniibacteriota
Description: tRNA-Met
Rfam family: tRNA
About the family: Transfer RNA (tRNA) molecules are approximately 80 nucleotides in length. Their secondary structure includes four short double-helical elements and three loops (D, anti-codon, and T loops).
Source: RNAcentral